Molecule: non-coding RNA, 81 nt
Organism: Tricholoma furcatifolium
Lineage: Eukaryota; Fungi; Basidiomycota; Agaricomycetes; Agaricales; Tricholomataceae
Source: the annotation of a GenBank genome assembly
GGGGACUUAGCGCAGUGGUAGCGCGUGUGCUUUGCAUCAUGCAGUUGUAUAAGGUCGUGGGUUCAAUCCCCACAGUCUCCA